RNAcentral lists this unclassified non-coding RNA (215 nucleotides) under uncultured fungus. Its description in RNAcentral is "sequence contains ITS1". The record is from RNAcentral. Lineage: Eukaryota; Fungi.
UUAAUUUUCAUUCGAAAAUUUGGUAAUCAGACAAUGUUGCUAACUGCAAGUUUUGAUAAAUGGUGCUGCCGGCAGGCUGACACAGAGGCUGUUUCCAACCGAGCUGCUGCCGAAGCGAAAGGUUUUUUGGUUCACAAAGGGUUAAACGCCUGCACCAGCCUUGCAGCUGGGAGACAUGAUUGGUAAUGAUCCUUCCGCAGGUUCACCUACGGAAA